RNAcentral lists this unclassified non-coding RNA (225 nucleotides) under uncultured Lysobacteraceae bacterium. Its description in RNAcentral is "uncultured Xanthomonadaceae bacterium contains 16S-23S intergenic spacer region". Lineage: Bacteria; Pseudomonadati; Pseudomonadota; Gammaproteobacteria; Lysobacterales; Lysobacteraceae. The record is from RNAcentral.
UCCGGUUUGUCACCGGCGGUCUCCUUAGAGUUCCCACCAUUACGUGCUGGCAACUAAGGACAAGGGUUGCGCUCGUUGCGGGACUUAACCCAACAUCUCACGACACGAGCUGACGACAGCCAUGCAGCACCUGUGUUCGAGUUCCCGAAGGCACCAAUCCAUCUCUGGAAAGUUCUCGACAUGUCAAGGCCAGGUAAGGUGGGGAUGACGUGCCGCAACUAACCA